CUCUAAUACAGUCGGGGGAUGACGGUACCGGAAGAAUAAGCACCGGCUAACUACGUGCCAGCAGCCGCGGUAAUACGUAGGGUGCGAGCGUUAAUCGGAAUUACUGGGCGUAAAGCGUGCGCAGGCGGUUUGCUAAGACCGAUGUGAAAUCCCCGGGCUCAACCUGGGAACUGCAUUGGUGACUGGCAGGCUAGAGUAUGGCAGAGGGGGGUAGAAUUCCACGUGUAGCAGUGAAAUGCGUAGAGAUGUGGAGGAAUACCGAUGGCGAAGGCAGCCCCCUGGGCCAAUACUGACGCUCAUGCACGAAAGCGUGGGGAGCAAACAGGAUUAGAUACCCUGGUAGUCCACGCCCUAAACGAUGUCAACUAGUUGUUGGGGAUUCAUUUCCUUAGUAACGUAGCUAACGCGUGAAGUUGACCGCCUGGGGAGUACGGUCGCAAGAUUAAAACUCAAAGGAAUUGACGGGGACCCGCACAAGCGGUGGAUGAUGUGGAUUAAUUCGAUGCAACGCGAAAAACCUUACCUACCCUUGACAUGGUCGGAAUCC
This 547-nucleotide ribosomal RNA is filed under the name Burkholderia cenocepacia. RNAcentral's name for it is "bacterial SSU rRNA". It matches the Rfam family "Bacterial small subunit ribosomal RNA", at positions 453 to 998 of the family's 1533-position model. Lineage: Bacteria; Pseudomonadati; Pseudomonadota; Betaproteobacteria; Burkholderiales; Burkholderiaceae. The record is from RNAcentral.